RNAcentral lists this long non-coding RNA (246 nucleotides) under Vigna radiata. Its description in RNAcentral is "long non-coding RNA (VRAD_LNC003087)". Lineage: Eukaryota; Viridiplantae; Streptophyta; Magnoliopsida; Fabales; Fabaceae. The record is from RNAcentral.
UUUAUUUCAAGCAUUUCAAACAACAAAAAACAGACUAAUUACAAUAAACUUUUGUUCAUGAUACUUGUAUCAUCAUUGUUUCCUCCGCCUCUGAGAACGCAAUGCGGAAAUCACAGCUAACCUAAAAAAAAAAAUAAAUAAAUAAAAAAAAUAAAAGAACAAUUAUAUGUACAGAAGUUUAACUAAUCUGUUUCAAAUAAAGUAAUCAAAUUCAUUCAAUAACAAGAAAUAAGAAUGAUUUUCAAC